This is a long non-coding RNA of Xenopus tropicalis (tropical clawed frog), 828 nucleotides long. RefSeq lists it as uncharacterized. The transcript is spliced from 3 exons. The record is from RefSeq and is a predicted model, not a curated record. NCBI's taxonomy places the organism in Eukaryota, Metazoa, Chordata, Amphibia, Anura, Pipidae.
AGCGUUUUUUUUUUCCUGUUUGGCUUCUGAUCUUCUGAACAGGUCUGGAACUGGAGGUGGUCCUUCUAAAAAUGUUUUCUUCACUGCAUAUGAGGAAAUGUUCAUGUCUGUUAUACACGGAGACUGCGUGACUGGUGUCGCCGGUGUUUUGGAUUCUGACAGAUAUGUCACCAAAGGUCCAAGAGGUCACUGGAUUGGAAAGUCAGCAAGAUAGCUCUGCAGAGAACCCCAACAAUCUCCUGAAAUGGAAAAAAGAAUGUUUAUUGUUGAUGAUAAUGCAAGACAGUGUCCUGAAAAUUUUAGUGAUUAUGCUGUAUUUUCUAAUGAUGUCAGGUAAUGAUAAUAAUGCUAAGCCUUUACAAUGCCCACAACAAGCACUUGUUAAAGGUAAGGUCAAAUCCAUACAUAGUACUGUUAUCCCAAAAGUACUUGAACCCCCCAAAAAAUUGUUUACAUAACUCUCUUAUCAAUUAUCAAAAAUCUCUCAUGAAAAAAAUGCAUGUUGUUCAUCUUGAUCUGUGUAUCGCCACAACAUGUUACAACAGUCAGGCAUCACAAGCCUCAUACGAGGCAGCUAUGUUAAAGGACAUGUAAACCCCACACACACAAAGUUAAUCAGUGAACAGCCUCUUUGAAAUCUUUCAAUGCCUGCCAGACUGGUUGCAUAUACAACUAAUUUCAACUUUUCAGCUGUUGCAGCUUUAAUUACUUCAUUAUUAGGCCCAAUAAGUACUUAGUUAAAUCAUAGUUACCGUGAAUGCAGAAAUGUUGCAUAUUGCCACUUAUUACUGUUGAGCUCAAUAAAAUAAAUGAUCUUUUUUUUUUUAA